RNAcentral lists this ribosomal RNA (2462 nucleotides) under Staphylococcus aureus. Its description in RNAcentral is "partial 23S ribosomal RNA". It matches the Rfam family "Bacterial large subunit ribosomal RNA", at positions 339 to 2805 of the family's 2925-position model. The record is from RNAcentral. Lineage: Bacteria; Bacillati; Bacillota; Bacilli; Caryophanales; Staphylococcaceae.
CAUCUGGAAAGAUGAAUCAAAGAAGGUAAUAAUCCUGUAGUCGAAAAUGUUGUCUCUCUUGAGUGGAUCCUGAGUACGACGGAGCACGUGAAAUUCCGUCGGAAUCUGGGAGGACCAUCUCCUAAGGCUAAAUACUCUCUAGUGACCGAUAGUGAACCAGUACCGUGAGGGAAAGGUGAAAAGCACCCCGGAAGGGGAGUGAAAUAGAACCUGAAACCGUGUGCUUACAAGUAGUCAGAGCCCGUUAAUGGGUGAUGGCGUGCCUUUUGUAGAAUGAACCGGCGAGUUACGAUUUGAUGCAAGGUUAAGCAGUAAAUGUGGAGCCGUAGCGAAAGCGAGUCUGAAUAGGGCGUUUAGUAUUUGGUCGUAGACCCGAAACCAGGUGAUCUACCCUUGGUCAGGUUGAAGUUCAGGUAACACUGAAUGGAGGACCGAACCGACUUACGUUGAAAAGUGAGCGGAUGAACUGAGGGUAGCGGAGAAAUUCCAAUCGAACCUGGAGAUAGCUGGUUCUCUCCGAAAUAGCUUUAGGGCUAGCCUCAAGUGAUGAUUAUUGGAGGUAGAGCACUGUUUGGACGAGGGGCCCCUCUCGGGUUACCGAAUUCAGACAAACUCCGAAUGCCAAUUAAUUUAACUUGGGAGUCAGAACAUGGGUGAUAAGGUCCGUGUUCGAAAGGGAAACAGCCCAGACCACCAGCUAAGGUCCCAAAAUAUAUGUUAAGUGGAAAAGGAUGUGGCGUUGCCCAGACAACUAGGAUGUUGGCUUAGAAGCAGCCAUCAUUUAAAGAGUGCGUAAUAGCUCACUAGUCGAGUGACACUGCGCCGAAAAUGUACCGGGGCUAAACAUAUUACCGAAGCUGUGGAUUGUCCUUUGGACAAUGGUAGGAGAGCGUUCUAAGGGCGUUGAAGCAUGAUCGUAAGGACAUGUGGAGCGCUUAGAAGUGAGAAUGCCGGUGUGAGUAGCGAAAGACGGGUGAGAAUCCCGUCCACCGAUUGACUAAGGUUUCCAGAGGAAGGCUCGUCCGCUCUGGGUUAGUCGGGUCCUAAGCUGAGGCCGACAGGCGUAGGCGAUGGAUAACAGGUUGAUAUUCCUGUACCACCUAUAAUCGUUUUAAUCGAUGGGGGGACGCAGUAGGAUAGGCGAAGCGUGCGAUUGGAUUGCACGUCUAAGCAGUAAGGCUGAGUAUUAGGCAAAUCCGGUACUCGUUAAGGCUGAGCUGUGAUGGGGAGAAGACAUUGUGUCUUCGAGUCGUUGAUUUCACACUGCCGAGAAAAGCCUCUAGAUAGAAAAUAGGUGCCCGUACCGCAAACCGACACAGGUAGUCAAGAUGAGAAUUCUAAGGUGAGCGAGCGAACUCUCGUUAAGGAACUCGGCAAAAUGACCCCGUAACUUCGGGAGAAGGGGUGCUCUUUAGGGUUAACGCCCAGAAGAGCCGCAGUGAAUAGGCCCAAGCGACUGUUUAUCAAAAACACAGGUCUCUGCUAAACCGUAAGGUGAUGUAUAGGGGCUGACGCCUGCCCGGUGCUGGAAGGUUAAGAGGAGUGGUUAGCUUCUGCGAAGCUACGAAUCGAAGCCCCAGUAAACGGCGGCCGUAACUAUAACGGUCCUAAGGUAGCGAAAUUCCUUGUCGGGUAAGUUCCGACCCGCACGAAAGGCGUAACGAUUUGGGCACUGUCUCAACGAGAGACUCGGUGAAAUCAUAGUACCUGUGAAGAUGCAGGUUACCCGCGACAGGACGGAAAGACCCCGUGGAGCUUUACUGUAGCCUGAUAUUGAAAUUCGGCACAGCUUGUACAGGAUAGGUAGGAGCCUUUGAAACGUGAGCGCUAGCUUACGUGGAGGCGCUGGUGGGAUACUACCCUAGCUGUGUUGGCUUUCUAACCCGCACCACUUAUCGUGGUGGGAGACAGUGUCAGGCGGGCAGUUUGACUGGGGCGGUCGCCUCCUAAAAGGUAACGGAGGCGCUCAAAGGUUCCCUCAGAAUGGUUGGAAAUCAUUCAUAGAGUGUAAAGGCAUAAGGGAGCUUGACUGCGAGACCUACAAGUCGAGCAGGGUCGAAAGACGGACUUAGUGAUCCGGUGGUUCCGCAUGGAAGGGCCAUCGCUCAACGGAUAAAAGCUACCCCGGGGAUAACAGGCUUAUCUCCCCCAAGAGUUCACAUCGACGGGGAGGUUUGGCACCUCGAUGUCGGCUCAUCGCAUCCUGGGUCUGUAGUCGGUCCCAAGGGUUGGGCUGUUCGCCCAUUAAAGCGGUACGCGAGCUGGGUUCAGAACGUCGUGAGACAGUUCGGUCCCUAUCCGUCGUGGGCGUAGGAAAUUUGAGAGGAGCUGUCCUUAGUACGAGAGGACCGGGAUGGACAUACCUCUGGUGUACCAGUUGUCGUGCCAACGGCAUAGCUGGGUAGCUAUGUGUGGACGGGAUAAGUGCUGAAAGCAUCUAAGCAUGAAGCCCCCCUCAAGAU